Molecule: ribosomal RNA, 253 nt
Filed under: uncultured bacterium
Lineage: Bacteria
Description: partial 16S ribosomal RNA
Rfam family: Bacterial small subunit ribosomal RNA
Source: RNAcentral
GACGUAGGGGCCGAGCGUUGUCCGGAGUUACUGGGCGUAAAGCGCGCGCAGGCGGACCCACGCAUCCUCGGUGAAAGCCCCCCGCUUAACGGGGGAGGGUCCGGGGAGAUGGUGGGUCUGGAGGCAGGGAGAGGCCAGUGGAAUUCCGGGUGUAGUGGUGAAAUGCGUAGAGAUCCGGAGGAACACCGGUGGCGAAGGCGGCUGGCUGGACCUGUCCUGACGCUGAGGCGCGAAGGCGUGGGGAGCGAACAGG